GACGAACGCUGGCGGCGUGCCUAAUACAUGCAAGUUGAGCGCUGAAGGUUGGUACUUGUACCAACUGGAUGAGCAGCGAACGGGUGAGUAACGCGUGGGGAAUCUGCCUUUGAGCGGGGGACAACAUUUGGAAACGAAUGCUAAUACCGCAUAAAAACUUUAAACACAAGUUUUAAGUUUGAAAGAUGCAAUUGCAUCACUCAAAGAUGAUCCCGCGUUGUAUUAGCUAGUUGGUGAGGUAAAGGCUCACCAAGGCGAUGAUACAUAGCCGACCUGAGAGGGUGAUCGGCCACAUUGGGACUGAGACGCGGCCCAAACUCCUACGGGAGGCAGCAGUAGGGAAUCUUCGGCAAUGGACGAAAGUCUGACCGAGCAACGCCGCGUGAGUGAAGAAGGUUUUCGGAUCGUAAAACUCUGUUGGUAGAGAAGAAAGUUGGUGAGAGUGGAAAGCUCAUCAAGUGACGGUAACUACCCAGAAAGGGACGGCUAACUACGUG
Molecule: ribosomal RNA, 497 nt
Filed under: uncultured bacterium
Lineage: Bacteria
Description: partial 16S ribosomal RNA
Rfam family: Bacterial small subunit ribosomal RNA
Source: RNAcentral